Non-coding RNA from Mesocricetus auratus (golden hamster), 294 nucleotides. NCBI's taxonomy places the organism in Eukaryota, Metazoa, Chordata, Mammalia, Rodentia, Cricetidae. The record is from Rfam.
GUAUGUGAUGGUGACUGAACUGUAACAUCUGCCAUCCCAAUAAUCACCAGUGCCUAUUUGGAUUAUCUUGCUUGUAGAUCCGUGUUCCUUUCCUCUGUCGCUGCUCCACAUAUACCUCUCCAAAAGCAGCACAAAUGGUAGAAGACAUCCUUAACUGCUGGUGGAGGGACAGUCUUUGGUCAAGGGUAUCUGAGUAGCUGUGCUCAGCUCUCAAGAUCCCAAAACAGAAUAGAGAGUCAAGAGAUGAAGAGUAUUUUGCCAUCUUCUCCAGAAUAAGUAAUAACAUUUGAGAGG